GUUAAGUAAGUAACAGUGAUAUUGAUCUAGGUAAGAGGGAACCUUAGUUUGACGCUUUGUCCUAUUGUUGUUAGGCAAAUUAAAAGGAACCGAAGAAGAAUUGGAAGCUUCAGAGAGAAUAGGAUCAGGAAACAAAGUUUCAGGUUGAUUAUAGAAAGGAGUGUCAGUCGUUGGUGAAUCUCCAAGAUCAAAGAAUGCGGGAAAUGGAGAAUCAGGAACAGGAAGAGGUAGAACAUCUUGACUGAAUAUGUCAGACAUUGAAGGUUGAACAGUUUCAGAGAAAGGAAAGCUAUCUUCAUGAAAAAUCACAUUGCAAGAGAUAGAGAUGGUAUUUGUGUGAAGAU
Molecule: long non-coding RNA, 344 nt
Filed under: Brassica napus (rape)
Lineage: Eukaryota; Viridiplantae; Streptophyta; Magnoliopsida; Brassicales; Brassicaceae
Description: long non-coding RNA (BNAP_LNC015120)
Source: RNAcentral